AGCACUUCCAGGAUUGGUCUCCUGCUGCUGAUGCACAUGCAGUGCUCUGCCCCAGGAAAACUGGAAACACUGCUCUGGGAGAAUGCCUCCCACAGCCACCUGCUCCUCUCGUGUCCACACACGUGGUGAUCCGGCAGGACGAAGAGAUUAGUGUGGGAAGGCGCUUCUGUCUGCCAUGCACUUUGCCCAGCUCUCAGCAGGUCCAAAGCCUUCUCGAACCUCCACAGGCAGAGUGAAGCAGUUCUACCCUGAGUACCAGCGUACCUUGUUAAUGCCUCUCUUACACCACUUGUUACAUGCCCGGAACCGCUUGUUUACAGAUCUCGCUUUAUCACUGGACCGAGACUUCUGGAGGGCAAGGGCUAGAACUCUUGUACUGAGCACAGCGAUUGCCAAAAUUAAUAAAUGCCCAUGGCACUAA
Molecule: long non-coding RNA, 421 nt
Organism: Dama dama (fallow deer)
Lineage: Eukaryota; Metazoa; Chordata; Mammalia; Artiodactyla; Cervidae
Exons: 3
Source: RefSeq, a predicted model, not a curated record